This 800-nucleotide ribosomal RNA is filed under the name uncultured bacterium. Its description in RNAcentral is "bacterial SSU rRNA". It matches the Rfam family "Bacterial small subunit ribosomal RNA", at positions 77 to 872 of the family's 1533-position model. The record is from RNAcentral.
AGCUUGCUACCUGACCUAGCGGCGGACGGGUGAGUAAUGCUUAGGAAUCUGCCUAUUAGUGGGGGACAACAUUCCGAAAGGAAUGCUAAUACCGCAUACGCCCUACGGGGGAAAGCAGGGGAUCUUCGGACCUUGCGCUAAUAGAUGAGCCUAAGUCAGAUUAGCUAGUUGGUGGGGUAAAGGCCUACCAAGGCGACGAUCUGUAGCGGGUCUGAGAGGAUGAUCCGCCACACUGGGACUGAGACACGGCCCAGACUCCUACGGGAGGCAGCAGUGGGGAAUAUUGGACAAUGGGCGAAAGCCUGAUCCAGCCAUGCCGCGUGUGUGAAGAAGGCCUUUUGGUUGUAAAGCACUUUAAGCGAGGAGGAGGCUACUGAGAUUAAUACUCUUGGAUAGUGGACGUUACUCGCAGAAUAAGCACCGGCUAACUCUGUGCCAGCAGCCGCGGUAAUACAGAGGGUGCGAGCGUUAAUCGGAUUUACUGGGCGUAAAGCGUGCGUAGGCGGCUUUUUAAGUCGGAUGUGAAAUCCCUGAGCUUAACUUAGGAAUUGCAUUCGAUACUGGGAAGCUAGAGUAUGGGAGAGGAUGGUAGAAUUCCAGGUGUAGCGGUGAAAUGCGUAGAGAUCUGGAGGAAUACCGAUGGCGAAGGCAGCCAUCUGGCCUAAUACUGACGCUGAGGUACGAAAGCAUGGGGAGCAAACAGGAUUAGAUACCCUGGUAGUCCAUGCCGUAAACGAUGUCUACUAGCCGUUGGGGCCUUUGAGGCUUUAGUGGCGCAGCUAACGCGAUAAGUAGACCGC